Heterocephalus glaber (naked mole-rat) is the source of this 191-nucleotide small nuclear RNA. Its record names the gene U2. It matches the Rfam family "U2 spliceosomal RNA". From Rfam's summary of the family: U2 is a small nuclear RNA (snRNA) component of the spliceosome (involved in pre-mRNA splicing). Complementary binding between U2 snRNA (in an area lying towards the 5' end but 3' to hairpin I) and the branchpoint sequence (BPS) of the intron results the bulging out of an unpaired adenosine, on the BPS, which initiates a nucleophilic attack at the intronic 5' splice site, thus starting the first of two transesterification reactions that mediate splicing. Lineage: Eukaryota; Metazoa; Chordata; Mammalia; Rodentia; Bathyergidae. The record is from Ensembl.
GUCACUUCUUGACCUUUUGGCUAAGAUCGAGUGUAGAAUCCUUCCUUAUCAAUUCAAUAUCUGAUGUGUCCUCUAUCUGAAGACAAAACAUUCAAUGAAUUUUUGGAGUUGGAAGAUGGGAUAGGAGUUUGGUCCACCCCCUCCACCUAUCAACCUGUUAUUGCAAUACUCACAGGAAUGAUUGACUCCUU